This is a non-coding RNA of Coturnix japonica (Japanese quail), 555 nucleotides long. NCBI's taxonomy places the organism in Eukaryota, Metazoa, Chordata, Aves, Galliformes, Phasianidae. The record is from RefSeq and is a predicted model, not a curated record.
CUCCCAUUGCUCAACAACAACCAACACACUGGUAUGCUAUUAACUGUUUCAUCUGAAAUUAGGAGAGAUUUAGUGGUUUAAAUUUCAUUUAGGGACAUGGAGAUUUCAGCUGAUGGCUAAUGUCUUCUGAAACUGAAUUAGAAGAACACGUACAUAAUUUGAGUUUGAGCUUAACUAAAAGAUAUUCAUGGAGAUAAGAGAAUCAUAGGUGUUGAAAGGAACAUCUGGGGAUCAUAGAGUCCAACCCCACUGAUAAAGAAGGUUCCCUAAAGACUCAGCAUUUCUGACCCGGUACUAGAAGACUAAAGACUGUGUUUGCUGAACCAUGCUUCUAGUCAAAUUUAGGAGCAAUGCAAGUGUAGGAAGACAUUGCUUAUUCAGAAGAAUUUGAAUACUAAAAACAGAGCAAACAAGCGUGCAUAGCAGACCACACAGGAGACAACUUUCUUGAUAAUGACAGGCUACUAAAGAACCAUGUAACGAUGUUGGUUGUGUGAACAAAAGGUAGUCGAGCUGAUGCUUCAAAUAUAAUUCUUGUGGGAAUUAGAUGCAGUA